AUGGUUCAGCAGGAUGUUCAGGGCCUUAAAGCACAGUCAGCAGGACUCAGCAUCUCCCAGCACCUGCUCUCCGGUUGUCAUGGUAACAUCAUCCCCAACCCAACCACCUUGUCCAGCCGAGAGACAGCAAUCAUAAGGAGGGACCUCGGUUUCCCCCGAGGAUCCUGGGCUUCCUUUCUGAAACGCUUGCUUCUGAGCUCAGCAACCAGGAACACCAGGCCAGCCCAUCCCCAGCACCUCUGUGGAGAUGAGGGACAAAGUCCUACAGUCCCUCUUCCUGUUCUGAUGAGAAAGGGAGGGAAGAAAACAUACCCCGAGCGCCUGCAAUAUGGUCAUGACACUUUCAAAAAGCCUGUGCUAUGGAGUCAUGAUCAGAAACCAGAGUGUGGAGAGGGUCAGCAGCCUGCCUCAGAGCAGCCAGCUAGGCGGGGAGUGGUAAAUUUGGGACUUGUACCCAGGCAUGACUGGCUCCGAGCCCAGUGCUCCACUCUAUGGAAUGUUCCCUGGGCCUCAGUUGCUUUCCUUUCCUUUGCAGGCCGCGGGCUGCUGCCACUCUGGCAGCUGGUGAGU
RNAcentral lists this long non-coding RNA (570 nucleotides) under Homo sapiens (human). RNAcentral's name for it is "non-protein coding lnc-SYNE3-1:8". The record is from RNAcentral. Lineage: Eukaryota; Metazoa; Chordata; Mammalia; Primates; Hominidae.